This 261-nucleotide ribosomal RNA is filed under the name uncultured archaeon. RNAcentral describes it as "partial 16S ribosomal RNA". It matches the Rfam family "Archaeal small subunit ribosomal RNA", at positions 748 to 1009 of the family's 1478-position model. The record is from RNAcentral.
UAGCCGUAAACGAUACUCGCUAGGUGUCGGCCACGGUGCGACCGGUGUCGGUGCCGUAGGGAAGCCGUGAAGCGAGCCACCUGGGAAGUACGGCCGCAAGGCUGAAACUUAAAGGAAUUGGCGGGGGAGCACAACAACGGGUGGAGCUUGCGGUUUAAUUGGAUUCAACGCCGGAAAUCUUACCGGGAUCGACAGCAACAUGAAGGCCAAGCUGAAGACUUUGCCGGAUUAGCUGAGAGGAGGUGCAUGGCGUAGUCGUGU